This 512-nucleotide non-coding RNA is filed under the name Pongo abelii (Sumatran orangutan). The record is from RNAcentral. Lineage: Eukaryota; Metazoa; Chordata; Mammalia; Primates; Hominidae.
AGUUUUUCCCUUACAGCUACCGGGUGUGGGAACUCACCCAGCGCAUCCGACUGCACAAUGAAAAAAAGUAGUUUUCCUUUAUAAUGCGGCUUGGCCCCCAGGGCGAUGGUGCCACAAGCCAGAUCACUGGGACUCAGAGAAAGGGAACACAGAAGCCUGGCAUGCCAGCAAAAGGCAGGGUCUUUGUGACCAGUAUCUUGCGCCAAACUCCUGUCUCAUCCUGUGACUUAGAAUGCCUAACUUCCUGGGAAUGCAGCACAGGUCUCAGCCUCAUUUUCCCCAGCCCCUAUUCAAGAUGGAUUUGCUCUGGUUCAAAUGCUUCUGACAACAUUCCUCAUGGUGAAUGCUGGAUUUUGCAUGCCCGAGGCCCUGGGCCACACUGUAUGUUUGGUUUUUGCACGGGCUGUAUGGCUAUGACUAGUCAUGUGGACCCUGCAUUCCUAUGUAAAUGACCCUCCAUAAAAACCCCAGAAAUGAAUGCUUGAGUGAACUUCCCUGGCUUGUAUUAUAAU